This is a long non-coding RNA of Oncorhynchus gorbuscha (pink salmon), 530 nucleotides long. RefSeq lists it as uncharacterized. The transcript is spliced from 3 exons. Lineage: Eukaryota; Metazoa; Chordata; Actinopteri; Salmoniformes; Salmonidae. The record is from RefSeq and is a predicted model, not a curated record.
GUUUUCUUUACUUUCAGAGAGCGAGCUGAUCAAGGGGUCGAAAAUCUAGAUAUUGCCAGAUGUUCACGGUCCGAGGAACAGGCUGUGGAAGCUUAUUGCUGGAAAAAGUGUCCAUAACCAGAGGUUAUAUCAGCUGUUUUGGUGAACCCCUCCCGCAUCUGAACUUGCUGACACAUAGGGCACAGCAUGAUCAUAGGUAUGUUUUGAUGUGAGAGAAGAAGCCAGUCCCGCCAUCACCACCUUACCCGCUCUUAAGAUAACCUUAUGGCCAACUGGGGGCCCAAGGCUGGUUAGGAGACACCGCAAAUGUGAUGAACUGAGAGAAUAUUAGGGUAGCGGUGUAAUUCAAUGAAUCAUAUGCUGUCUGCCGCUGUUCUUACCUAUUUCCCUUUCUGUAUUCUACACCUCUCUCACCACCUUGUCUUUCUUCCUUAUUUUAUAAUGCACACCAUAUGUGCAUUGAAGUACAGAAUGAACUUGUAUUUAUAAACAAUUGUUGGAAAAAUUACUUCUGUCAUGCAGAAAGUAGA